Molecule: ribosomal RNA, 860 nt
Filed under: uncultured marine bacterium
Lineage: Bacteria
Description: bacterial SSU rRNA
Rfam family: Bacterial small subunit ribosomal RNA
Source: RNAcentral
AGAGUUUGAUCCUGGCUCAGAACGAACGCUGGCGGCAGGCUUAACACAUGCAAGUCGAGCGAGGUCUUCGGGCCUAGCGGCGGACGGGUUAGUAACGCGUGGGAACGUGCCCUUCACUACGGAAUAGUCCCGGGAAACUGGGUUUAAUACCGUAUACGCCCUUCGGGGGAAAGAAUUUCGGUGAAGGAUCGGCCCGCGUCUGAUUAGGUAGUUGGUGGGGUAAUGGCCUACCAAGCCUACGAUCAGUAGCUGGUUUUAGAGGAUGAUCAGCAACACUGGGACUGAGACACGGCCCAGACUCCUACGGGAGGCAGCAGUGGGGAAUCUUAGACAAUGGGCGCAAGCCUGAUCUAGCCAUGCCGCGUGAGUGAUGAAGGCCUUAGGGUCGUAAAGCUCUUUCGCUGGGGAAGAUAAUGACGGUACCCAGUAAAGAAACCCCGGCUAACUCCGUGCCAGCAGCCGCGGUAAUACGGAGGGGGUUAGCGUUGUUCGGAAUUACUGGGCGUAAAGCGCGCGUAGGCGGACUGUUAAGUCGGGGGUGAAAUCCCGGGGCUCAACCCCGGAACGGCCUUCGAUACUGGCAGUCUGGAGUUCGAGAGAGGUGAGUGGAAUUCCGAGUGUAGAGGUGAAAUUCGUAGAUAUUCGGAGGAACACCAGUGGCGAAGGCGGCUCACUGGCUCGAUACUGACGCUGAGGUGCGAAAGUGUGGGGAGCAAACAGGAUUAGAUACCCUGGUAGUCCACACCGUAAACGAUGAAUGCCAGUCGUCGGGUAGUAUACUGCUCGGUGACACACCUAACGGAUUAAGCAUUCCGCCUGGGGAGUACGGUCGCAAGAUUAAAACUCAAAGGAAUUGACGG